CCUACGGUAGGCAGCAGUGGGGAAUAUUGGGCAAUGGAGGCAACUCUGACCCAGCAACGCCGCGUGAGUGAUGAAGGUCUUCGGAUUGUAAAACUCUUUAAGUGGGGACGAAGAAAGUGACUGUACCCACAGAAUAAGCCUCGGCUAACUACGUGCCAGCAGCCGCGGUCAGACGUAGGAGGCAAUCUUUAUCCGGAUUGACUGGGCGUAAAGGGUGCGUAGGUGGAUUGACAAGUUGGUCGCGUAAUUCCGGGGCUCAACUUCGGAACUACUGCGAGAACUGUUGGGCUUGAGUGCAGGAGAGGUGAAUGGAAUUCCUAGUGUAGCGGUGGAAUGCGUAGAUAUUAGGAGGAACACCAGCGGCGAAGGCGAUUCACUGGACUGUAACUGACACUGAGGCACGAAAGCGUGGGGAGCAAACAGGAUUAGAUACCCCAGUAGUC
Molecule: ribosomal RNA, 443 nt
Filed under: uncultured bacterium
Lineage: Bacteria
Description: partial 16S ribosomal RNA
Rfam family: Bacterial small subunit ribosomal RNA
Source: RNAcentral